This 523-nucleotide long non-coding RNA is filed under the name Phascolarctos cinereus (koala). RNAcentral's name for it is "lncRNA (ENSPCIG00000032305.1)". The record is from RNAcentral. Lineage: Eukaryota; Metazoa; Chordata; Mammalia; Diprotodontia; Phascolarctidae.
CAACAAGGUCAUUCCCAAGAGCGUAGAGACGUGCUUGUUGAUAAAGAUUCGACAAAGCGGUAACCAGGAGGUUGAGGCUGCUUUGAAAGUUAACCAGAAGGAUAUUCUACAUGUGAAGGGAAGACACCAUAACAGGUCUAUAGAAGGAGAUUUCCGUCAUGACGUGAACUUGGAUUUGAACCAUUCAACUCAGCUGAGGAUCCCUCAGGCACUGGGCCUUCAUGGUGAGAUCUUCUUCAGGCAGCAUCCGGCAGGAGAGUUUGACUGUGGUGUAACCCUGCAAGCUGCUGUCAACCAGAAGGUCACAUCUCAGGUCUGUCCUGGAGCCUCUUCUCUCUACGCUUUCUCAAAGUGUCAACCCACACAUUUUAUUGAUGAGGUGACUCAGAACCAAUUCUUGCUUCAGCUGAAUGGAUCCAAGUCUCACAUUGGGUUUUUCUCCCAACUUAGGCAUCCUGCCAGGGUGACACUUCCUCCAAAUUUCCAGGUCCAGGCUGCCGGUAGGCAUCACAAAGAUCGAAGC